RNAcentral lists this transfer RNA (77 nucleotides) under Desulfonatronum sp. SC1. RNAcentral describes it as "tRNA-Arg". It matches the Rfam family "tRNA". Rfam says of the family: Transfer RNA (tRNA) molecules are approximately 80 nucleotides in length. Their secondary structure includes four short double-helical elements and three loops (D, anti-codon, and T loops). Lineage: Bacteria; Pseudomonadati; Thermodesulfobacteriota; Desulfovibrionia; Desulfovibrionales; Desulfonatronaceae. The record is from RNAcentral.
GCGCCAGUAGCUCAGUUGGAUAGAGCAUCGGCCUUCUAAGCCGAGGGUCGGGGGUUCGAUCCCUCCCUGGCGCGCCA